Molecule: transfer RNA, 70 nt
Filed under: Camelus bactrianus (Bactrian camel)
Lineage: Eukaryota; Metazoa; Chordata; Mammalia; Artiodactyla; Camelidae
Also listed under: 2 other names
Rfam family: tRNA
About the family: Transfer RNA (tRNA) molecules are approximately 80 nucleotides in length. Their secondary structure includes four short double-helical elements and three loops (D, anti-codon, and T loops).
Source: Rfam by way of RNAcentral
GGGGGUAGCUCAGUGGUAGAGCAUGUGCUCAGCAUGCACGAGGUCCUGGGUUCAAUCCCCAGUACCUCCA